CUGGGCUUCUCUCUGUGCAGCCUCCCUCCACUGGGUUUUCCAGAGGCUUCCAAUGCACACAGGGUACUGGCCGCUGUCUCCACCCACCUCCCCUCCUCUUCCUAAUUCCAGGAUUUCUCUCAUGAGAAGAGGGUCUCUUGAAAUUGUCUCCCACUCAUGAGCCAGUUAAAAUGAUUAGAAAACGAGCUAGAGCUGCAGCCCCUUGUCUAUCCGGACCCUCAGGACCCCACACCUGGUCCUUGUACUGACCCAUUUGCAGCAAGACCCAUUUCCUGCAACCAUGAGCCCCUGAUGGGUGAGAGUUGGCUGCCCAGCUGUUCCCAGGUGCUGAGUUGAGGUCUGUCUAAAUAGCCCCUCCGGGCAGCAAGAGUACCUGCAGCUGUACCCGAGGGCACACUUUCUGCCCUGUUAGCCGCUGUGGGCCGGGGCUGUGUGGAGGGAGUGAGGAGCCAUGGCCUGCGGGUGGGCCAGCCUGAGUGGCCUCUGCUGGCCCUUCCACAGGAAUCGCCAGGCCACGACCUGCUAAGGAAGAGCACCCGAAUCUGCCCUGGGAAGUCCUCCCCAGGCAGAGGUGAGGAAGCAAGAAAAAAGGCAGAGAGGGCUCAGACAGAAGGAGUUACUCAGGACCCUGACAUUGGGUUUAGGGCCACUCUAGCCCACAAUGACCUCGUCUCAGGACCCUCAUCCACACCCGCAAAGGCCCUUUCCUAGAGAAGACCAAGGUGCUGUGCUGACGGGCACAGACGCAGCCACGGGCGUGCGGGUCUGGGGAGAAUGAGGACCCUGGAAGCACCUGGAAAGGAGCAAGGCCUGGCUGCGUCGGAAGCUGAGCGCUUCCACCACGUCCCGUGAGAACCGCCACUUCACCCUGUCGGUGGAGAGGAGCCCAGCGCCGAGUCCGGGAGAGGCUACCUUGCAGAGCCGGCCCCUCUGGGAGUCCAUCCUCGGUGGCAUCAGGCGACUGAUGACUACGGGCUUCAAGGCAUCACUUUCCGGCAGGUGAUGACGGCACUGUCCCUUUAGGCUCAGCAAGACUAGAAUGGGGGGUUGGAAGGAGACGCGUUUGGGAGCGUGUGAAGCUGGUUGUCAAGGAAACGUCCCCUUUAAGCUGAAGGCAGACCUUGGGGAGUUGGACUCCAGGCACCUUUUAAAGGGGCUGCCCUGAAGCACCCUGACCUGAGAGGUGGUCUCGGCACAGGCUGUGGUUUGAGGGAAGUGUGACAAGAUGAAGCCUUCCUUUCUGUUCCUGAUGGGGAGGGUUUUACAGGCACUUCAGCUUUCAGGGCGAAUGUUUGUUACUGGAACAAAGUGCCGUGUCCUGAAAUGGGCUCAAGCUCAAGAUGUCUCUGCCCCCUUCAUGGGAGGGUCCAGGGCGGGGGGUGUCAGGGGCCAGGCUCUGUCCCCCUUGUUUCUCCUCCCUGCUUCUGGGUGGAGGACUCCAACCAGGAGGGGGUGGGGUGCCCACGUGGGCACCGUGAGCGGGUAACGGAUCACGGGCUGUGGUGGGCGACGGGCGGCUCUGCUGCAGCAGGGUCACCAGGGCACUAGCGCACGUCUCUGGGUCCUGUGAAGUGGGACUGCACGUGGGUGUGAGCUCUCUGGUGCUUGUGGUACUGGAAGUCACGGAGGAGGUGUCCCCCAGCAGGUGAAGCUCACGUCCCCAGUGGUGGUGAAGCCAGAUCUGCGGUUCAGAUGGGUGUGGCCGAGUGUACGGGAGAAAACCAACGCGUGUGCGUGUAGAUCAGGCGCGCGGGGCUGCUUGAACUCUCCUCUCACGCGCCCUCCCCGGGGACACUCCUCAGCUGCGGAGGCUCCGUAACUCACGUGCAGGGGAUGGAGCAUGCCCAGCCUGAGGCCUGAUUUGCCCUGCGUCCGAGUCUGCUUGGUGCUGCCACAUCAAAUGCCCGAGUCCAGGCGCUUACACAACAGACCUGUCUCCUCGCCUGGAUGCUGUCUGAGAUCAAGGUGUCUGCAGGCUGGUUCCUCCCGGGGCUUCUCUCUGCGUGUGGACCUCCGUCUUCUCCCCAUGUGCUCACGUGGUCGCCCCUGUGCCUGUGUCCUGGUCUCUUCUUGUAGGACCUCAGUCCUGAUGGACCAGGAUCCACCCUCAUAGCGUCGUUUUACCUUGACGGCUCUUGAAAACCCCAUCUCCAAAGACAGUCACAUCCUGGGUUCCUGGGGGUUAGGGAGCCAGCACGUGAGUUUUGUGGGGAAACAGCUGAGCCCACACCAUCCUGCUUAGGACCUGGCUGGGCUUCGUCCCCCCUUCCCUCAAGUUCCAUGGCAGUGGGGGUGGGUGUGAGACAGCCCAGGGGGAGGCCACUCAUCCAGGUCUAGUUGGGGACAGUGCAGGGCCUUAGUUAGGGAGAGGGCAGGGACUGAGUUAGGCAUAGUUCAGGGCAUUUGUUAGGGAUAGAGCUGGGCCUUGGAUAGGGACAGAUUAGGUCUAGUUAGGGAGCCCUCAAAGCCUUACUUAGGGAGAACUUAAGGGCAUUAGUUAGGGACAGUAUUGGGCCUUAUUAGUGACAGCGCCGAGCCUUACUAAGGCUUGUGUAGUUGGGAGCAGCACAAGGCUUUAGUUAGGAACAGGGCAGGCCCUCCUUUGGGAGAGUGCAGCACCACAGUUGGCCAAAGCACAGGGCCUGAGUAAGGGACCUUGCCCAGCCUUAGUUAGGGACAGCUCAGUGCCUUAGUAAGAGACCUUGCCCAGGCUUUGUUAGGAACAGCUCAGGGCUUUAGGGACACUGCAGUGCUUUAGGUAGGGACAGCGCAGGGCCUUAGUUAGGGACACUGAAGUCCAGUUAGGGACACACGGAGGCUGAGGUCAUGAACGAAGGGUGGGAGUGCAGCGGUAUUUUGGUGGGCAGGCUGUGCUCAUCUCUGUGCCCUUUCUCUUGAGAUUUCUCUCCAACGUACUCCUUGCCUUUGCACCUGAGCCUCUUCCUGUCCCCGACUGGCAUCAUGGGGAUCUGACCUAAAGGCGUGUCUUAUUGCUUAAGGCAGGGUGACCUAAAGCUGGCUCUCCUGACUCAGUGGUGCAGCAGGGCAGCUGAGUGUUUUAAGGUCGUGGGAUGUGGCAGGUUGGGGUGGAUAUCCUGGGAGGCUUUGAGAAAUACCCCAUCUGUAGGGCUCUUCACUGUGCUUAGAGGGAGAGGAGGACCGAAAUCGAGCUGACAGGUGCCCAGGAUUAGCGCCCCCCGGGCUGCUGAGAGAGACGGAGGGACUGAGAGUUGCUGUUAGAGCACAUGGCCGCCAGAGGGCGCCAGAGCCCCAGCAGCGCCCCGCCCCCCGCAGCUCCCUGGCCGCACGUCCACGCUCAGAGGUAGGAGGAGAUGGGUCGGUGGGGCCCCAAGGGGGUGCCCAGAGCUUGGGGCUUGGGUACAGGACACCUCUGACCACCUGCCCCCAUUUUCCUCAUCUCGGAGAGGAGACACACUUCUGCCUUCAUAUCUGUGAUCAAUUCUUGUCUGGUGGGGUGGCCCAACGGCUAGAGAGCGUGACAGGCUGGCUGUGGUCUGCGUGCCCUUUGAUGGUUUGGAGGCACAGCUCCGGCCCCGGAAAUACCUGGCGCACAUCUUGCAUGUGCAGUUUUCUAGAAUCAGCUUGCAAGGGCUUUGGGCUGGUGGUCGUGAAUGGAGGGUGUCAAAGGGGUGCUAUGUUGGGGGGUGGGCUACGCUCCCCCCUGUGAACUUUGUUUUGAAAUUGAUCCCCAGCUUCCUUUCUCCCUUCCCUCUUCCCACCUCUUGGUAGGGAAAAAUACCUAAAACCCAGUGACGUGAACAAAGGGUGUGAGGUUACUGAUUUAAAGCUGGGCCCCAGGACUGAAGGGUCCAGAUGGAUUUAACGGCCACUCCUGUGCAUUAAAAAGCAGGGCGGCUGAGGGAUGGCAGGCUGGGGGGUGGUGUCAGGUGGGGCGAGGGCCCUGGCAGACCGAGAAAUCCGGGCCCCGUCUGCAGGGCCUUUCAUGGUGCUCAUGUUAGGGCACCGUUGACUGAACCACUGAAAC
Sus scrofa (pig) is the source of this 4006-nucleotide non-coding RNA. NCBI's taxonomy places the organism in Eukaryota, Metazoa, Chordata, Mammalia, Artiodactyla, Suidae. The record is from RefSeq and is a predicted model, not a curated record.